ACAUAUGUAGUGAAAAUCUAGAAACUACGGUUAGAUAAAAAGAAAUGAACGAUUCGUCCAUGUCAUCACGGGUAAAAAUUUUACUUAUAGAUUUACUCAUGGUGACAUGCACGAAACUCAAACAUUCAUUUUUUAUUCAAUGGUAGUUUUCAGAUUUUCAUUAUAUAUGU
RNAcentral lists this unclassified non-coding RNA (170 nucleotides) under Oryza sativa (Asian cultivated rice). Its description in RNAcentral is "partial microRNA MIR484x-3 precursor". The record is from RNAcentral. Lineage: Eukaryota; Viridiplantae; Streptophyta; Magnoliopsida; Poales; Poaceae.